CCGUUGGUGAACCAGCGGAGGGAUCAUUACCGAGUUUACAACUCCCAAACCCCUGUGAACAUACCAUUUGUUGCCUCGGCGGUGCCUGCUUCGGCAGCCCGCCAGAGGACCCAAACCCUUGAUUUUAUACAGUAUCUUCUGAGUAAAUGAUUAAAUAAAUCAAAACUUUCAACAACGGAUCUCUUGGUUCUG
This 192-nucleotide unclassified non-coding RNA is filed under the name plant metagenome. RNAcentral describes it as "partial contains small subunit ribosomal RNA, internal transcribed spacer 1, and 5.8S ribosomal RNA". The record is from RNAcentral.